This 404-nucleotide ribosomal RNA is filed under the name Actinomycetes bacterium. RNAcentral describes it as "Actinobacteria bacterium partial 16S ribosomal RNA". It matches the Rfam family "Bacterial small subunit ribosomal RNA", at positions 355 to 776 of the family's 1533-position model. The record is from RNAcentral. Lineage: Bacteria; Bacillati; Actinomycetota; Actinomycetes.
UGGGGAAUAUUGGACAAUGGGCGCAAGCCUGAUCCAGCCAUGCCGCGUGAGUGAUGAAGGCCCUAGGGUUGUAAAGCUCUUUCACCGGUGAAGAUAAUGACGGUAACCGGAGAAGAAGCCCCGGCUAACUUCGAGCCAGCAGCUGCGGUGAUACGAAGGGGGCUAGCGUUGUUCGGAUUUACUGGGCGUAAAGCGCACGUAGGCGGGAUUUUAAGUCAGGGGUGAAAUCCCGGGGCUCAACCCCGGAACUGCCUUUGAUACUGGAAGUCUUGAGUGUGGUAGAGGUGGGUGGAAUUCCGAGUGUAGAGGUGAAAUUCGUAGAUAUUCGGAGGAACACCAGUGGCGAAGGCGGCUCACUGGACCAUUACUGUCGCUGAGGUGCGAAAGCGUGGGGAGCAAACAGG